GCGCCCGUAGCUCAGUUGGAUAGAGCGUAGGCCUCCGGAGCCUAAGGUCGCAGGUUCGAUCCCUGUCGGGCGCACCA
Molecule: transfer RNA, 77 nt
Filed under: Deltaproteobacteria bacterium
Lineage: Bacteria; Pseudomonadati; Myxococcota; Myxococcia
Description: tRNA-Arg
Rfam family: tRNA
About the family: Transfer RNA (tRNA) molecules are approximately 80 nucleotides in length.
Source: RNAcentral